AGCAGCCGCGGUAAUUCCAGCUCCAAUAGCGUAUAUUAAAGUUGUUGCAGUUAAAAAGCCGUAGUUGAAUUUCGGGGGUAACAGUUGCGGUCAUGCUGGGUCCGAUUGCCCGGUUCAACGGGGGUAAAUGCAAUGGCUUGGUCGUCCAGGCUUGCAAAUUUUCCCCUUCCCCAUCCCUUUCUGGGAAAGGAAAACCCGUGCUGGAAUUGGCCAUU
RNAcentral lists this ribosomal RNA (215 nucleotides) under uncultured Glomeromycotina. Its description in RNAcentral is "partial small subunit ribosomal RNA". It matches the Rfam family "Eukaryotic small subunit ribosomal RNA", at positions 569 to 788 of the family's 1831-position model. The record is from RNAcentral. Lineage: Eukaryota; Fungi; Glomeromycota.